Molecule: non-coding RNA, 29 nt
Filed under: Rattus norvegicus (Norway rat)
Lineage: Eukaryota; Metazoa; Chordata; Mammalia; Rodentia; Muridae
Source: RNAcentral
UUUCAACUGGGCUCUCAGGAGAAGCAAAG